UUCAACUUUCCUAUCAGAUAGAGGGAUUUUACUAGGGCUAAGGGGAGACUGAGAGGGACCUUGAGCUGACACAGAAGCUGGAAUGGGAGCAGUGGAGGACUGAGCAGCUUGCCUUUUUCUGCGGACAUUUUCUUCUAGCUCACGGAUCGAUUUUCUUCUCUGAGGGAGCUUCAUCUUUGGAGCCAUUCUCACCACAGCAGCAGGCAGAG
This 209-nucleotide long non-coding RNA is filed under the name Elaeis guineensis (African oil palm). RNAcentral's name for it is "long non-coding RNA (EGUI_LNC077063)". The record is from RNAcentral. Lineage: Eukaryota; Viridiplantae; Streptophyta; Magnoliopsida; Arecales; Arecaceae.